Zingiber officinale is the source of this 2848-nucleotide RNA transcript. RefSeq lists it as uncharacterized. NCBI's taxonomy places the organism in Eukaryota, Viridiplantae, Streptophyta, Magnoliopsida, Zingiberales, Zingiberaceae. The record is from RefSeq and is a predicted model, not a curated record. The transcript has 7 exons.
GUUCGGACUCAAGUUCGACCCUUCACAGACACCUUCCUGUCUUCGCGUUUCGCACCUAUGCUCGUCUUCAUGCCCCAGUGAAUCAUCCCAACCCUAAAUUGCACUGGCAUCGCGUGCGCCGGACGACCCAUAGACGGCGACGGCGAGGGAUGGUGGAGGGGCACAGGUUUUGGAGCCACCUUCCGCUGCUGGUGCAAUCCAGCUCCAAGGAGUCGGUGGAAUACAUACUGCAGGCUCUCUGGCGGACCCGGAAAACCGGCCUCGACGCCGCCGACCGCUCCAUCAUCCGAGAAAUGCUCAACCUCUCCUCCGAAUCCGACCUCGAUCCUCUUUUGGUAUGCCUCCGCAUGUUGAUUCGGAAGAGUGUUUAUGAGAAUAUUUCAAAGGAUGAGAUUCAGAAAUUGUUUCCACUAGAAGUUCUCCCAGAAUUGCAAAGGCUGCUGACGCUGCUUCUACAGAAGUUUCAACGAGAAUGGCGAGAAGACGUACUCAAAGAUCAGGCUUCUGUGCCUCGUUUAAAGGCAAUGACAUGGAAUAAAGUAAAUCAAAGUCAAGAUUCAGCAGAUAACGUGGCUGUUAUUAAUCUGAAGCUACAAGAUGACCAAUCUAUUUCAGGCGAAAGAGAGGUAAAGUUCCAAUUAGCUAAGGACACUUUGGAAACGAUGUUGAAGUCCAUGUACUUCAUAAGAGAUCAAAUGUCUAACAGCGAUACUACCCAUAAUGGACAUGGGCAAAGGGAAGAUAAGGAAGCGGACAGCGCAUAAGAAUGUUUUCUCGGAAUAAACCAUUACUAGGCAAAGCAAGUGUGUGCUUCGCAGCUGGAUGCUGUGCAAACUUGUAUUCACAUUCACAGGGUCUUCCUCGGCUGCAGUAAGGUAUGUGAGGGACUCAAGAAGAUUCGACUGCCUGCAUUCUCUGCGGUACUCAAGAGUCAUGCUGGUGAGAUGAUAGUUUUCCAGUACAUUUACGGGAACGCUCUGCAAUAGGUAGGAAGCAGUUGUAUUCAAAUUAGUCAGUCAUCAAUUGUUUUCUAAAUCUCUCUUUCAUUAAUUGGAGAAGUAGUUAAAUUUUCUUGAUGUAGCUUGAAGCUGUAGUUAAAAAAAUUUUCCAUGUAGUUUAAUGAGACCUAACAUUAUGUUAAGUGGUUCCCUUUUGCAUGAAAAUUGAUAAGAACUAGAUUCUGUUUAAAAAAAAAUGCCAAUUUACUAAUGAAUACUUUCGAAGGCUGAUUCAAUUUGUUUAUGUCUUGAUACAUGGGUGGAUCAAGAAUAUAGUUUAUAACUACUGGAAAAUUGAAUUUUAAACAAUACAUAGAAUGCUGAAGUUGAUUACCUCCAUUAUCCAUCCAAUGUAUUUUACAUUGUUUACAUGUUGAUUGACGUCCAUGUCACUCCACCUUGGCUAAAUGACAUGAUUAAAACAUGUUUAGUAAUUUAUGGAUUUAUAGCUUCUGAAUUCAUAUUGAAAUCCAGUUUUGAAUUGACUGAUUAUAGUUAGCACUGAACAAGAAAUUUACACUUACUGCUAAACCAGAUUUGAUGUUCACUGCAGUUUCUUCAGUCAAUUUCUCGAUUUUUUCAUUGUCACAGCUGCCAUCAAAAAAUACUCUCCUGUCCAGAUAGAAGGGUUUUACCUCUUCCCUUACCUGUUCAGAGCAGGGAUGAAGGGUGCCAAGGUGGCGGACAGAUACAGAGGUAGAAGGCAAGUACCUGCAGGAGAUUCAUGAGGGUCUCCAUGGUUGCUGUUUCAUCAGGUCCAAUCUCAUGAGAUCUGAUCACAAAGGUCUGCCUGUAAACGUAUCUCUCCUCCACAAACCUCCCAAGCCUGUAAGUGUGCAUUACUCCACCAUCAUCAUCCUGGAGCACUGCAGUUCCAUUCCCCAUGGUCAAAGAAGCCUCAAUACCAUGCACCACUUCAUUCAUCUUGCUUCCAUGGACUCUAUCCGCACUCACUUUGCAAUUGUCGCCACCAGUCUUCACACAAAACUGCCGUAGCUUUCCCUUCCUGGCACAGCAAAUGGAACUUGCCACAGUUGGAAGAUGUAAUCUGGUGCUGCAGCUGGAAGCCAUGGACUUUGCAACCGCCUUACUGCCAAAUUCCAUGGCUGAGAUAGCCAUGAAAAGAGAUUUAUUGGAAAUUCUUCAAAAGGGUUGGUUGAUUUCAGAAAGCUGGAUGGCAAUUGAUCAAGUGUUUCUGAGACCUUAUGAAUGGAAAGAACACCAAAUGCGGUGUGAGAGGCUUGCAAGAAAAAAAUGCAGCUUGUGUGAUGAAGUGCAGCUCAACCACUUAUAUGGAUGGAGGAGAAGAAGAUGAGUGUUUGCUUGCCUGGAAACAAUGUUUUUGAAAACCUCGCUGUCGUGUUCAACCAGAUAAACUCGAACUGAGGCAGAUUCACCCGUUCCCAGGUGAAGUUUUAUGCAACUGGAUUUUUUUUUGUUGGCUUGGGGAUCAACUGGGAUGAGAUGAUAUUCAAAUUUUGGAUCAGGGAGGUUGAAAACAAGGUGUGCGCUAGAUUGUAAGCAGCUCACCAACCCUCUCCUGCCGUGUGCUCCGGAAAAUUUUCCAGACUAGUUGUACCAAACACUUGGCCUGAAUAAUUCAAAACUUGGACGCAAGCUUUGGAUUCUCAAGGGUUUGCUUGUUGGUGCUGCUGCACUUGCUUCAAUGAGUCCUUCAGCAUUCCUUCAGCAUUCAUGAGAAAUAACUUGUGCAAAGAUUGAUGGAGAGUGUUUCCCGAGGUUGUUUGAGGUGGGGCUUAAUGCAAAGGACUGUAUGGUUCACGGUUCGAUGCGGUUUUGAAGAACUUUCUUGAGUUUUUCGAUCAAAAUUUACUAUUUUAUGAAUAUUA